GACGAACGCUGGCGGCGUGCUUAACACAUGCAAGUCGAACGGAAAGGCCCUUCUUUUGUGGUGUGCUCGAGUGGCGAACGGGUGAGUAACACGUCAGUACCCUUCCCUUGACUUUGGGUUACCUUCAGGAAACUGGGGCUAAUACCGGAUCGGAGCUCCUGCUUCAUGGUGGGGGUUGGAAAGUUGCGGCGGUUGGGGAUGGACUCGCGGCUUAUCAGCUUGUUGGUGGGGUAGUGGCUUACCAAGGGUUUGACGGGUAGCCGGCCUGAGAGGGUGACCGGCCACAUGGGGACUGAGAUACGGAGCAGACGGCUACGGGAGGCAGCAGGGGGGAAUUUUACACAAUGGGGGGAAGCCUGAGGAAGAAACGUUGCGUGCGGGAUGAAGGCCUUCGGGGUGUAAACCGCUUUCGCCUGUGACGAAGCGGGAGUGACGGUAAUGGAUAAAGAAGCACCGGCUAACUACGUG
Molecule: ribosomal RNA, 468 nt
Filed under: uncultured bacterium
Lineage: Bacteria
Description: partial 16S ribosomal RNA
Rfam family: Bacterial small subunit ribosomal RNA
Source: RNAcentral